This 88-nucleotide transfer RNA is filed under the name Candidatus Thorarchaeota archaeon. RNAcentral describes it as "tRNA-Leu". It matches the Rfam family "tRNA". From Rfam's summary of the family: Transfer RNA (tRNA) molecules are approximately 80 nucleotides in length. Their secondary structure includes four short double-helical elements and three loops (D, anti-codon, and T loops). The record is from RNAcentral. Lineage: Archaea; Promethearchaeati; Candidatus Thorarchaeota.
GCGGAGGUUGCCAAGCCAGGUCAAAGGCGUAGGGUUCAGAUCCCUAUCUCGUAGGGGUUCGCGAGUUCGAAUCUCGCCCUCCGCACCA